Molecule: ribosomal RNA, 253 nt
Filed under: uncultured bacterium
Lineage: Bacteria
Description: partial 16S ribosomal RNA
Rfam family: Bacterial small subunit ribosomal RNA
Source: RNAcentral
GACGAACCUUGCAAACGUUAUUCGGAAUCACUGGGCUUAAAGGGUGCGUAGGCGGUGCGGAAAGUUGGGUGUGAAAUCCCUCAGCUUAACUGAGGAACUGCGCUCAAAACUUCCGUGCUAGAGGGAGAUAGAGGUGAGCGGAACUUAGGGUGGAGCGGUGAAAUGCGUUGAUAUCCUAAGGAACACCGGUGGCGAAAGCGGCUCACUGGAUCUCUUCUGACGCUGAGGCACGAAAGCUAGGGGAGCGAACGGG